UACGUAGGGGGCUAGCGUUGUCCGGAAUCAUUGGGCGUAAAGCGCGCGUAGGCGGCCCGGUAAGUCCGCUGUAAAAGUCCAGGGCUCAACCCUGGAAAGCCGGUGGAUACUGUCGGGCUCGAGUCCGGAAGAGGCGAGUGGAAUUCCUGGUGUAGCGAUGGAAUGCGCAGAUAUCAGGAGGAACACCAAUAGCGAAGGCAGCUCGCUGGGACGGUACUGACGCUGAGGCGCGAAAGCGUGGGGAGCGAACAGG
Molecule: ribosomal RNA, 253 nt
Filed under: uncultured bacterium
Lineage: Bacteria
Description: partial 16S ribosomal RNA
Rfam family: Bacterial small subunit ribosomal RNA
Source: RNAcentral